UUACUGUAAGAAUAAGCACCGGCUAAUUCCGUGCCAGCAGCCGCGGUAAUACGGAAGGUGCAAGCGUUAUCCGGUUUUAUUGGGUUUAAAGGGUGCGUAGGCGGCUUAUUAAGUCAGUUGUGAAAUCCUAGUGCUUAACGCUAGAACUGCAAUUGAUACUAUUAGGCUUGAGUUAAGAAUAGGUAAGUAGAAUUUAUGGUGUAGUAGUGAAAUGCUUAGAUAUCAUAAGGAAUACCAAUAGCGUAGGCAGCUUACUGGUCUUUAACUGACGCUGAGGCACGAAAGCGUGGGGAGCAAACAGGAUUAGAUACCCUGGUAGUCCACGCCGUAAACGAUGAUCACUCGGUAUACAUAAAUUUAUGUGUGUCUAAGCGAAAGCGUUAGUUGAUCCACA
This 394-nucleotide ribosomal RNA is filed under the name Cardinium endosymbiont of Dicranosepsis sp. RNAcentral's name for it is "bacterial SSU rRNA". It matches the Rfam family "Bacterial small subunit ribosomal RNA", at positions 475 to 873 of the family's 1533-position model. Lineage: Bacteria; Pseudomonadati; Bacteroidota; Cytophagia; Cytophagales; Amoebophilaceae. The record is from RNAcentral.